Molecule: unclassified non-coding RNA, 304 nt
Filed under: plant metagenome
Description: partial contains 5.8S ribosomal RNA, internal transcribed spacer 2, and large subunit ribosomal RNA
Rfam family: 5.8S ribosomal RNA (bases 1-105)
Source: RNAcentral
GAGAUGCGAUAAGUAGUGUGAAUUGCAGAAUUCAGUGAAUCAUCGAAUCUUUGAACGCACAUUGCGCCCCUUGGUAUUCCAUGGGGCAUGCCUGUUCGAGCGUCAUUUGUACCUUCAAGCUUUGCUUGGUGUUGGGUGUUUGUCUCGCCUCUGCGUGUAGACUCGCCUCAAAACAAUUGGCAGCCGGCGUAUUGAUUUCGGAGCGCAGUACAUCUCGCGCUUUGCACUCAUAACGACGACGUCCAAAAGUACAUUUUUACACUCUUGACCUCGGAUCAGGUAGGGAUACCCGCUGAACUUAAGC